AGUGAACGCUGGCGGUAGGCCUAACACAUGCAAGUCGAACGGCAGCACAGUAAGAGCUUGCUCUUACGGGUGGCGAGUGGCGGACGGGUGAGGAAUACAUCGGAAUCUACUUUUUCGUGGGGGAUAACGUAGGGAAACUUACGCUAAUACCGCAUACGACCUACGGGUGAAAGCAGGGGAUCUUCGGACCUUGCGCGAUUGAAUGAGCCGAUGUCGGAUUAGCUAGUUGGCGGGGUAAAGGCCCACCAAGGCGACGAUCCGUAGCUGGUCUGAGAGGAUGAUCAGCCACACUGGAACGGAGACACGGUCCAGACUCCUACGGGAGGCAGCAGUGGGGAAUAUUGGACAAUGGGCGCAGGCCUGAUCCAGCCAGACCGCGUGGGUGAAGAAGGCUUUCGGGUUGUAAAGCCCUUUUGUUGGGAAAGAAAAGCAGCAGGGUAAUACCCCGCUGUUCUGACGGUACCCAAAGAAUAAGCAACGGCUAACUUCGUG
RNAcentral lists this ribosomal RNA (492 nucleotides) under uncultured bacterium. RNAcentral describes it as "partial 16S ribosomal RNA". It matches the Rfam family "Bacterial small subunit ribosomal RNA", at positions 29 to 507 of the family's 1533-position model. The record is from RNAcentral.